Molecule: ribosomal RNA, 468 nt
Filed under: uncultured bacterium
Lineage: Bacteria
Description: partial 16S ribosomal RNA
Rfam family: Bacterial small subunit ribosomal RNA
Source: RNAcentral
GACGAACGCUGGCGGCGUGCUUAACACAUGCAAGUCGAACGGAAAGGCCCUGCUAUUGUGGGGUGCUCGAGUGGCGAACGGGUGAGUAACACGAGAGUAACCUGCCCUUGACUUUGGGACAACUUCAGGAAACUGGGGCUAAUACCGGAUACGAGCUCCUGCUGCAUGGAGGGGGUUGGAAAGUUUCGGCGGUUGGGGAUGGACUCGCGGCUUAUCAGCUUGGUGGUGGGGUAGUGGCUUACCAAGGCUUUGACGGGUAGCCGGCCUGAGAGGGUGACCGGCCCCAUUAGGUCUGAGAUGCGGCCCGGACUCCUACGGGAGGCAGCGGUGGAGUGUAUUGCACAGUGGGCGGGAGCCUGAUGCAGCGACGCCGCGUGCGGUAUGACGGCCAUCGGUUUGUAAACCGCAUUCGCCUGUGACGGGGCGUGAGUGACGGUAAUAGGUAAAGAAGCCCCGGCUAACUACGUG